RNAcentral lists this long non-coding RNA (213 nucleotides) under Solanum tuberosum (potato). RNAcentral describes it as "long non-coding RNA (STUB_LNC003448)". The record is from RNAcentral. Lineage: Eukaryota; Viridiplantae; Streptophyta; Magnoliopsida; Solanales; Solanaceae.
UUAAGAUUAGUGAGAAAAAUUAGUUAGUUCAAUAUUCAAAAUAGGAAGUGUAUAAGUUAGUUAGUCGGUUAUAUAACUACCUAUCCAAAAGUUAGUUAGGAGCUCUAACUAACUAAGUUCCAGAAGUGUUGUAUAUAUAUAAUCACUCUUGUACUCAUUUGUUUCAAUGAAUCAAUAAGAGAAUUGUGAGAGAUCUUAUAACUCUCAGAUAUA